Molecule: long non-coding RNA, 2593 nt
Filed under: Callithrix jacchus (white-tufted-ear marmoset)
Lineage: Eukaryota; Metazoa; Chordata; Mammalia; Primates; Cebidae
Description: lncRNA (ENSCJAG00000072775.1)
Source: RNAcentral
CUGUCUUAGAAAAUUUAAAUUUGUAUAUAAAAUUGGACAGGGAAGCAUGUGGCCUGGGGCUUUGGAUAGAGUAUAUCUGAGAAUGAGUGCAAACUCCCUGGCAUGGGGCUGAAAAAUGGAGGGUAGGAAACCUGGCCCAGGUUUGUUUGAGUCCUGGAUAAACGGCUGCCUGAAGUCCACCCUGGGGUUGUUCAGCUUCAUAAGCCAAUAUAUACUGUUUUUGCUUAAGCCAGUGUGGGCUGGGUUUUUAGUCUCUUGCCUAGGGAGGAGCCCUGACUGCCUCACGAAGCUGGCGCGCAGCAGGGCUGCACUCACGGCAGGGCUGACUAGCACCAGGGUCUGUGCAGCAGAAGAGGAAUUUAUUGAUGUGAGACCUGAAGGAUCAGGAGGAGAUAACAAGGCAAACUGGAAGGGAGAGAAGAUGCCCAGACAGAGAAAGAGCCAGAUGGGGAAACUGAGACCCAAAUUGAAGGGAGCAGUCGCCGAGUCAGCCAGUGACAGAGCUGGGGCUUCACUCCGCUUCUGGAUUCUCAGCUCCCAUCCUGGUCCCUCUGCCUUUUAUAGAGCAGCAUGGAAGGAAUCAAAAACAGGCAGAGGACUCCCGGGCGGCUCUGAACACUAGGUGCAGUGCCUCAGUUCCUCCAGCUGCCCCUCUCCCAGCGGGAGCUCACACUAGAUGGGUCGGGGCAGCUGAGGAGAGUGCUUUCAAUUCAACUGGAGAGAGAUCUGCCCUCUCCAGGAUAGGGAGAGCUUUCUGCCCUCCUCCUCAGGCCCUGGAGGCCGCAAGCCCGCCUGUCAGGGUCACCUGGGUGCUCUAAGAAGGGCUCCGCCUCCCUCCAGGGCGUCACCUGGACUGCCCAACUGGGCUGCCUCAUGGCCUUUGACCUUCAGAAUCCCAAGAUUCACCCACCUCAUCCAGAAGAAGGCGGGGAAAGGGGAGGCUGUGGAGACCCAUAAACCAGGGACUGACUCCUAACUGGCCACCUCAUAGCUUUGUGACCUUCCGCGAGUGGCCUGGUCUUCCUGAGGGAGUGUUACCAAGCUUCUCCCUUGUAUGGUUUUAGUGAGGGCUGGAGAUGAGGCUGUCAAUUCUUGGUGGCUGUUACUAUUAAAGCUGGCCAGGAUGUCCCUUCUGACCCUCACCCCUCCAGUUCCCAUAGCCUGUAAUCCCAGCACUCUGGAAGGCCAAGAUGGGCGGAUCACUUGAGGUCAGGAGUUCAAGACCAGCCUGACCAAACAUGAAGAAACCCCAUCUCUACUAAAAAUAGAAAAUUAGCCUGGCAUGGUGGCACAUGCCUGUAAUCCCAAGUUGGGAGGCUGAGGCAGGAGAAUUGAUUGAACCCAGGAAGCAGAAGUUGCUGUCAGCCGAGAUUGCACCAUUGCACUCCAGCCUGGGCAACAAGAGCGAAACUCUUGGCUGAUUCAUUUUCUCCCAAAACAUUGAUCACUGGUGGACGGACAAACUGCAGGGCACCCGUGUGAUGGAAUGACCUCAGCAAUAAAGAAGAACAAAAUAGUGAUACAAUGAAUGACAUGGACGACCCGCAUAGCACUGUGCUGAGGUUCAGCGGCAAAAUGAAAGCAGACUAACUCAAAAGGCUGCAGGCUCUGCCACUCCAUGUGCCUGAACUCCAGGGAGGGCCACGCUGUAGCUGGAAAGCAGGUCAGUGCUUGCCUGCGGUGGGAAGUGGGAGCAGGGAUUGAUUGCAACAGGGAAUGAGGGAGUUUUAUGGGGGGAUAAAAAAAUCAGUGUCUCAUUUGCUGGUAGGUAGGUAGGUGGCUAUUUCCAUUUGGCAGAGCUUAUCAAACUGUAUGCUUAAAAUAAGCAAAUUCAACAGUACACAAACCACACUGUAAUGAAGCUGGCAGGGUAAAAUCUUCCCAUUUGGAAAUUAUGAUCUGGAAAGUGACUAUAUUGCCUGGUCAUGUACACAAGAGAAGAGUUAUCUCCCUAGGAAACUUUUAAGAAAUGCUCAGUUCUUAAAAGAAAUAAGAAAUUGAGUGACCAGAGAAAAUGAGGAAGGAUUUGAAGAAAUACAGUACCAGGGCAUCAUAGAAGAGCUGGCUUGAAAUAGGCCAGAGAGGGGACUCAAGUCUUGGUGUAUUUGUACACUGCCUGAACUACCUGACCUUGGUCCCUUAUCUGAUAUCCUCUUUGUCCCUGGCUCUACCUGAAUAAAAGCUCACUCUUCUUUCAUAAAUAAUAAAAAGGCUAUCCUUCAAUGAGAUGACAUUUCUCUUUCCUGGCCCAGAACUCAGAAGGCGCCCAGCCCCUCUUGAGCCACCAGGCUCUUCUGCAGUGGAGUUUCUCUCCUCUGCUUGCUUCCAGAGCCUUCUGCAGGCUACCAAGACAAAGCUUUCUCACAUUCCUCUGGGCCUGGUCCUUCUGCUCUCUGCUGCUGCCCUCUCUGUCCCCGUCCCUCCUCCGUUUCCAGAAUGACAGCGUCUCCCAGCAGCUUUUGCUUUGGAGUCCUGGCUCCUCAAUUCAAGGUCAGCUUCUGAGAGCAGAAGCUCGUCCCAUUUUCUCCCCUUCCCUCUGCCCUCUCUCUUGGAAGCCCAGUGUGGGAUCCCCUCCCGGUGUUUUAGGAUAAAC